UGAGGAAUUUUGCGCAAUGGGAGCAAUCCUGACGCAGCAACGCCGCGUGGGUGAUGAAGGCCUUCGGGUCGUAAAGCCCUGUCAGGUGGGAAGAAUGUCCCGGGACUGAACAGGUUCCGGGAGUGACGGUACCACCAGAGGAAGCACCGGCUAACUCCGUGCCAGCAGCCGCGGUAAUACGGCGGGUGCAAGCGUAAUUCGGAAUUACUGGGCGUAAAGCGCGUGUAGGCGGUCCUGCAAGUCUGAUGUGAAAGCCCCGGGCUUAACCCGGGAAGUG
RNAcentral lists this ribosomal RNA (277 nucleotides) under uncultured prokaryote. Its description in RNAcentral is "partial 16S ribosomal RNA". It matches the Rfam family "Bacterial small subunit ribosomal RNA", at positions 355 to 623 of the family's 1533-position model. The record is from RNAcentral.